UUAAAUUGAAGAGUUUGAUCAUGGCUCAGAUUGAACGCUGGCGGCAGGCCUAACACAUGCAAGUCGAACGGUAACAGGAAGCAGCUUGCUGCUUCGCUGACGAGUGGCGGACGGGUGAGUAAUGUCUGGGAAACU
Molecule: ribosomal RNA, 135 nt
Filed under: Escherichia coli
Lineage: Bacteria; Pseudomonadati; Pseudomonadota; Gammaproteobacteria; Enterobacterales; Enterobacteriaceae
Also listed under: 8 other names
Description: partial 16S ribosomal RNA
Rfam family: Bacterial small subunit ribosomal RNA
Source: RNAcentral